CAGGUGGGGAGUUUGGCUGGGG
This 22-nucleotide small nuclear RNA is filed under the name Arabidopsis thaliana (thale cress). RNAcentral describes it as "snRNA_18575". Lineage: Eukaryota; Viridiplantae; Streptophyta; Magnoliopsida; Brassicales; Brassicaceae. The record is from RNAcentral.